Molecule: ribosomal RNA, 465 nt
Filed under: uncultured bacterium
Lineage: Bacteria
Description: partial 16S ribosomal RNA
Rfam family: Bacterial small subunit ribosomal RNA
Source: RNAcentral
GACGAACGCUGGCGGCGUGCUUAACACAUGCAAGUCGAACGGAAAGGCCCCUUUGGGGGUACUCGAGUGGCGAACGGGUGCGUAACACGUGAGUAACCUGCCCUUGACUUCGGGAUAACUUCAGGAAACUGGGGCUAAUACCGGAUAGGAAUCCUUGCUGCAUGGUGGGGGUUGGAAAGCUUCGGCGGUUUUGGAUGGACUCGCGGCUUAUCAGCUUGUUGGUGGGGUAGUGGCUUACCAAGGCUUUGACGGGUAGCCGGCCUGGGAGGGCGACCGGCCACAUUGGGACUGAGAUACGGCCCAGACUCCUACGGGAGGCAGCAGUGGGGAAGAUUGCACAAUGGGCGGAAGCCUGAUGCAGCAACGCCGCGUGCGGGAUGACGGCCUUCGGGUUGGAAAACGCUUUCAGCAGGGGCGAAGCUUGUGGUGACGGUACCUGCAGAAGAAGCACCGGCUAACUACGUG